AGAGUCCUGGAGGCCUUAGAAGUCUCUUGAAAAAAUAGAGUUUGAGUCGAAUUGGUAUCUGAGCUGGGGCAAAGUACACGGCCCAUGUACCAUUACAUAGGGCAGGCCGUGUAACUCUCUGGAGCCUUGAACUCUUCAUCAAGUAGUGGGACAUGUUACACGGGCCAGGGACCAUUACACGGGUCUCUUACACGGAUCGUG
This 201-nucleotide unclassified non-coding RNA is filed under the name Hevea brasiliensis (rubber tree). The record is from RNAcentral. Lineage: Eukaryota; Viridiplantae; Streptophyta; Magnoliopsida; Malpighiales; Euphorbiaceae.